AUGACAUUAUUAGUGGGUCUUAUGGUUGUGGAAAGCCCCCGACGUGCUGCACCAGCAGCAUCGGAACGACACCGGCCUCGGGGACGACCACAGAGACGUGGUGCAGCGGAACGACACCGGCCUCGGGGACGACCACAGAGACGUGGUGCAGCAGAACGACACCGGCCUCGGGACGACCACGGGGACGUGGUGCAGCGGAACGACACCGGCCUCGGGGACAACCACGGGGACGUGGUGCAGCGGAACGACACCGGCCUCGGGGACGACCACGGGGACGUGGUGCAGCGGAACGACACCGGCCUCGGGGACGACCACGGGGACGUUGGUGCAGCGGAACGACACCGGCCUCGGGGACGACCACGGGGACGUGGUGCAGCGGAACGACACCGGCCUCGGGGACGACCACGGGGACGUGGUGCAGCGGAACGACACCGGCCUCGGGGACGACCACGGGGACGUGGUGCAGCGGAACGACACCGGCCUCGGGGACGACCACGGGGACGUGGUGCAGCGGAACGACACCGGCCUCGGGGACGACCACAGAGACGUGGUGCAUCGGAACGACACCGGCCUCGGGGACGACCACGGGGACGUGGUUCAGCGGAACGACACCGGCCUCGGGGACGACCACGGGGACGUGGUGCAGCGGAACGACACCGGCCUCGGGGACGACCACGGGGACGUGGUGCAGCGGAACGACACCGGCCUCGGGGACGACCACGGGGACGUGGUGCAGCGGAACGACACCGGCCUCGGGGACGACCACGGGGACGUGGUGCAGCGGAACGACACCGGCCUCGGGGACGACCACGGGGACGUGGUGCAGCGGAACGACACCGGCCUCGGGGACGACCACGGGGACGUGGUGCAGCGGAACGACACCGGCCUCGGGGACGACCACAGAGACGUGGUGCAUCGGAACGACACCGGCCUCGGGGACGACCACGGGGACAUGGUUCAGCGGAACGACACCGGCCUCGGGGACGACCACGGGGACGUGGUGCAGCGGAACGACACCGGCCUCGGGGACGACCACGGGGACGUGGUGCAGCGGAACGACACCGGCCUCGGGGACGACCACGGGGACGUGGUGCGGGUCGGUCAGGGCCAGUUGCAGCUGCUGUAGUUGCGGCAGCGUCGGACAGGCCAUUCCUGCUGUCUCCAUUUAGAGUCGGUUAUUCUGUCACGUAUAAAGAUCGGAGACAGGUGCAGGAAUAUGUAAUAGGGGUUUUUAAUACCCCACCCAAAAUACAAUAUGCCAUGAAAAGGCACGGGGACGAAGUCCAAAACAAACACAUAUAUAAAAUACACAGGGAUGUAACCCAAACAAAAGAGCGAGGUUAA
This 1344-nucleotide long non-coding RNA is filed under the name Salmo trutta (river trout). RNAcentral's name for it is "lncRNA (ENSSTUG00000036298.1)". The record is from RNAcentral. Lineage: Eukaryota; Metazoa; Chordata; Actinopteri; Salmoniformes; Salmonidae.